RNAcentral lists this long non-coding RNA (651 nucleotides) under Athene cunicularia (burrowing owl). Its description in RNAcentral is "lncRNA (ENSACUG00000013009.1)". Lineage: Eukaryota; Metazoa; Chordata; Aves; Strigiformes; Strigidae. The record is from RNAcentral.
CGGGGUGUAAUGUUACACGGGGGUGGUUUUCCUUAACAGAAUAAAAGCUUUGCAGGGAAAUAGUAGGUCAGGCUUGCCUCAGCCUUGCCAAAACUGGCACCAAAACUCCUGGUUGCUGUAAGCUGUCGGCAAACCUCUCUUUCUUUGGUCUUGCCCCAUUUCCUUGACUUUCCAACCCAAUUUCUCCUGGAGUUUCUGAGCAACUUUAAGAAAACACAUCAGGGGGCGUUGGGAACUUCUCUGAGGUGCUCCUCCUCUGGCCGCCUACGGCCUGUUGCGUAGUUUAACGUUUCUUCCUCCGCUGUUUGAAUCCAAGGGCGGCAGACGCCAAGAUUUCCGUGUUGUCGAUGACCGAAGACCCCAACACCUCCCUCUUCUGCCAGUUCCCGUUCAGUUGGGUUGUGAAAUCCUACCUGGACAACGUGUGGGAGAGGGUCUAUCAUACGAAAGGCCAACCCAAGAACCCGACAGGGGAAGUGGCCAGGUUCUACCAAAACAUCAUCAAGAACGUCUGGAUGCCAGAUGACCGCACUCCAAACAUGCUCUGCUAUUACGCCAACGACUUCGUCAGGAUGGCUUUUCCUGGACAAGAUAACUCCGUCUACGAGAUCCUUUCCCAAGCUCUCCUCGCCAGCGCAGAGCAACUCUGCC